This 392-nucleotide ribosomal RNA is filed under the name uncultured soil bacterium. RNAcentral describes it as "bacterial SSU rRNA". It matches the Rfam family "Bacterial small subunit ribosomal RNA", at positions 26 to 420 of the family's 1533-position model. The record is from RNAcentral.
AGAUUGAACGCUGGCGGCAGGCCUAACACAUGCAAGUCGAGCGGCAGCACGGGUACUUGUACCUGGUGGCGAGCGGCGGACGGGUGAGUAAUGCCUAGGAAUCUGCCUGAUAGGUGGGGGAUAACGUUCGGAAACGGACGCUAAUACCGCAUACGUCCUACGGGAGAAAGUGGGGAUCUUCGGACCUCACGCUAUCAGAUGAGCCUAGGUCGAUUAGCUAGUGGUAGGUAAGCUACAGCUACGAUCCGUAACUGGUCUGAGAGGAUGAUCAGUCACACUGGAACUGACGACACGGUACCAGACCUCCGUAACGGGAGCAGCAGUGGGAAUAGUGGACAAGUGGGACGAAAGCCUAGACUCAGCCAGUGCCGCGUGUAGUAGGAAGAAGGUUC